RNAcentral lists this ribosomal RNA (465 nucleotides) under Vreelandella stevensii. RNAcentral describes it as "partial 16S ribosomal RNA". It matches the Rfam family "Bacterial small subunit ribosomal RNA", at positions 338 to 795 of the family's 1533-position model. The record is from RNAcentral. Lineage: Bacteria; Pseudomonadati; Pseudomonadota; Gammaproteobacteria; Oceanospirillales; Halomonadaceae.
CCUACGGGUGGCAGCAGUGGGGAAUAUUGGACAAUGGGGGCAACCCUGAUCCAGCCAUGCCGCGUGUGUGAAGAAGGCCCUCGGGUUGUAAAGCACUUUCAGUGAGGAAGAACGCCUGGUGGUUAAUACCCAUCAGGAAAGACAUCACUCACAGAAGAAGCACCGGCUAACUCCGUGCCAGCAGCCGCGGUAAUACGGAGGGUGCGAGCGUUAAUCGGAAUUACUGGGCGUAAAGCGCGCGUAGGUGGCUUGAUAAGCCGGUUGUGAAAGCCCCGGGCUCAACCUGGGAACGGCAUCCGGAACUGUCAAGCUAGAGUGCAGGAGAGGAAGGUAGAAUUCCCGGUGUAGCGGUGAAAUGCGUAGAGAUCGGGAGGAAUACCAGUGGCGAAGGCGGCCUUCUGGACUGAUACUGACACUGAGGUGCGAAAGCGUGGGUAGCAAACAGGAUUAGAUACCCCGGUAGUC